This 460-nucleotide ribosomal RNA is filed under the name uncultured bacterium. Its description in RNAcentral is "partial 16S ribosomal RNA". It matches the Rfam family "Bacterial small subunit ribosomal RNA", at positions 338 to 795 of the family's 1533-position model. The record is from RNAcentral.
CCUACGGGAGGCUGCAGUGAGGAAUAUUGGUCAAUGGGCGCGAGCCUGAACCAGCCAAGUAGCGUGAAGGAUGACUGCCCUACGGGUUGUAAACUUCUUUUAUAAAGGAAUAUAGUGAGGCACGUGUGCCAUUUUGUAUGUACUUUAUGAAUAAGGAACGGCUAACUCCGUGCCAGCAGCCGCGGUAAUACGGAGGGUCCGAGCGUUAACCGGAUUUAUUGGGGUUAAAGGGGGCGUAGAUGGGUUGUUAAGUCAGUUGUGAAAGUUUGCGGCUCAACCGUAAAAUUGCAAUUGAAACUGGCAGUCUUGAGUACAGUUGAGGUAGGCGGAAUUCGUGGUGUAGCGGUGAAAUGCUUAGAUAUCACGAAGAACUCUGAUUGCGAAGGCAGCCUACUAAACUGCCACUGACAUUGAUGCUCGAAAGUGUGGGUAUCAAACAGGAUUAGAUACCCGGGUAGUC